CAGCACCUCAAGUGGUCAGGAUGAUUAUUGGGCCUAAAGCGUCCGUAGCCGGCCUAGCAAGUCUUUUGUGAAAUCGUUAAUUUGAAUUUAACGCUGUGCAAAAGAAACUGUUGGGCUUGGAACCAGGAGGAGUCAGAAGUAUUUUUGAGGUAGCGGUAAAAUGUUAUAAUCUCAAAAGGACUACCGGUGGCGAAGGCGUCUGACUAGAAUGGAUUCGACGGUGAGGGACGAAAGCCAGGGGAGCAAUCCGGAUUAGAUACCCGAGUAGUCC
Molecule: ribosomal RNA, 271 nt
Filed under: uncultured archaeon
Lineage: Archaea
Description: partial 16S ribosomal RNA
Rfam family: Archaeal small subunit ribosomal RNA
Source: RNAcentral